GACGAACGCUGGCGGCGUGCUUAACACAUGCAAGUCGAACGGAAAGGCCCUGCUUUUGUGGGGUGCUCGAGUGGCGAACGGGUGAGUAACACGUGAGUAACCUGCCCUUGACUUUGGGAUAACUUCAGGAAACUGGGGCUAAUACCGGAUAGGAGCUCCUGCUGCAUGGUGGGGGUUGGACAGUUUCGGCGGUUGGGGAUGGACUCGCGGCUUAUCAGCUUGUUGGUGGGGUAGUGGCUUACCAAGGCUUUGACGGGUAGCCGGCCUGAGAGGGUGACCGGCCACAAUGGGACUGAGAUACGGCCCAGACGCCUACGGUAGGCAGCAGUGGGGAAUAUUGCACAAUGGGCGGAAGCCUGAUGCAGCAACGCCGCGUGCGGGAUGACGGCCUUCGGGUUGUAAACCGCUUUCGCCUGUGACGAAGCGUGAGUGACGGUAAUGGGUAAAGAAGCACCGGCUAACUACGUG
This 468-nucleotide ribosomal RNA is filed under the name uncultured bacterium. Its description in RNAcentral is "partial 16S ribosomal RNA". It matches the Rfam family "Bacterial small subunit ribosomal RNA", at positions 28 to 507 of the family's 1533-position model. The record is from RNAcentral.